This 32114-nucleotide long non-coding RNA is filed under the name Ananas comosus (pineapple). RNAcentral describes it as "long non-coding RNA (ACOM_LNC011673)". The record is from RNAcentral. Lineage: Eukaryota; Viridiplantae; Streptophyta; Magnoliopsida; Poales; Bromeliaceae.
AGCAAAGCUCUUAUAAUUGUACCAUUUGGUUUGGGUAUAAGUAAGAACUAGCUAUUACAGGGAUAGAUACAAGUAUGGAGAUAAGAAAAAUAGUGUUUGGAUGAAAAUUGGGCUGUUCCUGGAGAUAAGAAAAAUAUUAGGUAGUUUUAUAUAAAAAAUGAAGGUAUUGGUGGGGAUAACUAAGAACUACUAUUCUCAGGUAAAAAAUUAGCAUUUGGAUAUAAAGGGGGGGAUAAGGGCCUAUCCCUACUCUUAUCCCCUAACCAAAUGCUGUUUGGUUGUGGGAUAAAAGUGGGAUAACCCCUUUUAUCCCACUAUUCUUGCCAAACACCAAGCAAAAUUGGCAUCUUAAUUUAUACCUGCGUUAACGGGUUAUUUCAGAAUAAUCCGUUAAGAGAGGAGAAUAGUAGUUCCAUGUAUUGGGUAGAACAAGCUAUUCUCUAAUUUAUUCCUCCACUAAUUAAGUUGUAAAUAAUUAUAAAUUAUAAUCAAUUAAUACAAUUAAAUUUUUUUAAUAAUUGACUAAUUAAUUAUUUGAGUUAUUAAAUUAAUAAAUAUUUAAAUAAUAAUCUAUUUAUAAUUUAUUAUUAUUUAUCUAAUUAAAUAGUUAAAUUUAAAAAUUUAAAAAUUUAAAAUUUAUAAUUUGUAAUCUCAAAAUUAAAGUUUAUAAUUUUAAGUUCUAACUUUUAAAUUUUAAAUUUAAAUUUUGAUAUUUUAAAUUUUUGAAAUUUAAAAUUUGAUAGUUUAUAUUUUCCAAAUUUAAAUUUGAUCUCAUAUUUAAAAUUUAAAAUUUAUAAUUUAAAAUUUGAGUUUAAAAUUUGAGAUUUUAAAUUUAAAAUUUUAAUUUCAAAUUUUGAAAUUUCAAAGUUAAAAUUUUAAAUUUAAAAAUAUAAAUUUAAAAAUUUAAAAAUUUAAAUUUAAAAAUUCAAAUUCAAAUAUAAUAAGCGGGUAAUAUCAUUAUUUUUUAUUUAUAAAGCCUACUAUCCUUCUUAUUCCAUCUUACCUAACCAAACGCUAUUUUUUUUGCUCUCAGGAAUAACCCAAUUUUCAUCCAAACGUAAAAUUGAUCUAAUCCCCGCUUAUAUCUCAAUUUAUAUACUUAUCUCUGGAAUAGUCACUUUCUGCUUAUUCCCGACCAAACGAUACCUUAGGUUGCGUUUGGUUUGGGUAUAAAUAAGAACUGCUUAUUCCAGGGAUAGUUACAAGUUCAGGUAUAAGCAAGAACUAGACUAAUUUUGUGUUUAGAUGAAAAUUGAGUUGUUCUAGAAAUAAGAUAAAUAGUGCUUGAAUGGUUAGAUUGGAACAAAGGAAAUAAGAAUUAUAAUUUUAAAUUAAAAUUAUUUUAUCUAAUUAAUUAACAUCAAAAUAUUACUUAAAAAUAAUAAUUAAUAUUAAUAAUUAUAAACAAUAAAUUGAUUAAAUAUAAUAAGUUAUAAAUAAUUAUAAAUAAUAAUUAUUAAUUAAUAAUAAUUCAUUAAUAAUAAAUUAAUUAGAUAAUAUAGUAUAAUAUAACUAAUAAUAAUUAUAAUAAAAAUAAUUAAUUAAUAUAUAAUAAAUAAUAAAUUAUAAAUACUAAUAAAUUAAAUAACUUAAUUAAUUAUAAUUAAUUAAUAGUAAAUUAAUUAUAAAUAAUAAAUUAAUAAAUAAUUUUAUUAUUUAAGUAAUAAAUAAUAAUUUAAAUAUAUUAAUUAAAUUAAUUAAUUAUUUAAUACCAUAAUAAUUAAAAUUAUUUUUAAACUUUAAUUAAUUUUAUUCUCAUCUGGGAACAAGCUUGUUUCAAAAAAAAAGGUGGAACAUCAGUUCCAGUCUUAUACCGGCUUAUUCCAGAAAGCCAAGAGCUACUGUUCUCGGUUACCAAACGCACUGUUUGAAAACAAAGGGGGGAAUAAAGGCUUAUUCUUCCCUCUUAUUUCCGAAUCAAAUGCUACCUUAGAGCCUGGGUGUAUAGCUUGGAACAUGUCCAGGUCUACAAUAAAUUUCCGGUGCAUUAAAAAAAAAAAAAGCAGUCUAAACCCAAGUAGCUGUGGCCCAUGAUCCAAAGGCCAGGUUCAUCGGUUUUUCUCUAGCCCAUUUAUUCGGAAUAGGACGCUAGCCCCUCUUUAACUUUUUCGUUAAAUUUAUAUAUAAAAAAUUUCAGAUAUUCUAUAUGUAGUUUAUCAAAUAUUUAUUUUAAUAUCCUUUAGUUUUAACUUUAUCGGUGAUUUAACGAAAAAAUUAGUGGAGGGAAUAACAAAAAAAAAAAAAAUACCACAAAGUACGAAAGUGAUACAUUUUAAAUCACAGAAUACUAAAGUGAGAAAGUGCGCAACUAUAAGAACAGUAUUUGAAGUUUUUUUUUUUCUCUUUUGAAAAACCAAACUAUUGUUUUUUUUUUUUUUUUUUUUUUUUUUUUUUUUUUUUUGGAGUCGUUUAUUUCAUUAAGAAAUAAAUUUAGCUAGAAAUAUGAAUCAACUAGGAUUCGAACUUGGGUCUCGGGUACCAACUACUAAGCCCUUUGUCACUUGCUCUAGGAACCGUCGGUAAAAUAGAGCUAUUGUUGAUUUGCUGUUUGCAGUGAAAAGAAAGGAAGCCAGCGGAGCCGGUGGUGGUGCACAGGCUAGCAGUGGUGGGAGCAGGCAGUGGCUGGGAGCAAAGAUGGUAGGGCAAGGAGGCAAUGGUGGGGCUUGGAACUUUUUGGCCCUUCUCCUUUCUAUCAUCAUCUUAUUCCUCUUCUAGUCUUCUAGCUUAAUUUGGAUGGCUACAUUCCAAAAAUGCUUGUCCAUUAAGUUGUUGGCAGAGCCGUAAAAGAACUUUAUAUGGAUCUUCGUUUUUACUCAUGUUAAAAUGCUUCUAUAAUAUCCCUUUUUCUUUUGAAUAAUCUUACCUAUCUGCUAACAUGCUAUCUCUUCGGGGCUGUUUGGUUUGACGCGAUCGUAACUAUACUAUAAUUUUAACUAUAUCGAGAUUUAAUUAUGAUAUCUAAUUUGGCGCAAUUAUAAUAAUGUCUUAUCCGAAAAGAAGCUCCUUCCACAUUAGAAGAUGCAGAAUAUCAACCUCUACCAAAUACAGAGGAAUAUUUUAGCAUAGCUGGAGUUGAGACCUGACAAGUUAAUAUGCCUCGUGGGAUGUUUGGUUAUAGCCUUAUAGGAGAAUUUUCUUUUUUUUUAAAAUUAUUUUGAUAUAUUUCAUUAUUACAAGAGGAUAAAUAAACAAAGACAAAAUAAAAGGCCUUUACACCUAUACAUGAGACACACAAUAAGAAAAAUAAAAAUAGUGUAUUAAAAAUUUAAAAUAAGUGUAGGAAGAAAGGGGUAAAUUUUAAAUAUCAUUCUUUUGGUUUUGCGCUUUAUCACUUUACUAUCAUGUGGUUUAUAUUGUAUUAUUUUUGUAUUUCAUAGUUUCAUUUUUUCUUUCUGUCAGUACCUACAUUAACUCUGUUAAAUCAUACAUAAAAACCAUCAGAUACUCCACUUAUAAUUUAUUGAAUAUUCACUUUAGUACCCGAUGGUCUACCGAAUUUUCACUUUAGUACUUUGUAGUUUUACUUUUAAUUGAUUUAACGAAAAAAUUAAUAUACGAAGUAACGGAAAGAGAAAAAUAAAACCAUAGGGUAUUAAAGUGAUACAUUUUAAACUAUAGAGUAGUAAAGUAAGAAAGUGCAAAACCACAGGAAUAAUCUUUGAAAUUUUUUCAAAAAAUAAUGUUGAAAGUUUUUAUGAUGCAGAAGACAUGGCCACAAGCAAUGAAUGAGAGAAAAACUUGGUGGGAAAUUUUCUGGAAUGCACACUAGUUUGGAGCGCAGGAGAAAAGAAUUUUCGUAGACUAAUAUGUUUCUAUAUGAUUAUAAAUUUAGUUGUAGAAUGUGUAAACAUAAAUCUCUUCGGAAUUCUCAAAAAUAUCCAUUUUUUUUUUUUACCCUUCUCUCUCUCCUCUCCUCCCUUUAAACAGUAAUUUCCUCUUUUGGCAGAGGCAUCCUCGUCACUAAAAGUUAUUUUAAUACUUUUACAAAAGAAAUUAACUUUUCUCGGCACAAAUGGCAAAAUACUUGAUGAUUUAUUUUUUAUGUACUAAAUUCGAAAGCUUAUUGCUUCAUAUUUUUAGCUAAAUUUAUUAAAAAGAAAAAAAAAUUGGGUAGCACGCUAUCUCUUUUUCAAAAAAGAUAGAAAAAAAUUUACUGAAAAAUUAAGAUAAAUAAAUUAUCAGCACCAAUUUUUUUUUUUUUUGAGAGAAAGGUAACAUGCUACCCGCUUCGUUUAUUUCAUUUAAAAAUAAAUUUAGCUGAAAAUGUGAAUCAAUUAGGAUUCGAAAGAAACUUAGAAAUAAAUCAACUUCAUUUAUUUCAUUUCUUUCUAAAUGAAAUGAAUCGACUAUUUCAUUUAGAAAGAAACUUAGAAAUAAAUUAUCAGCACCAUUUAUUUCUAGUUUUAUCUUUUUUUUAAAAAAAAAUUUCAGUGUGUAUCUCACCUAAGUUUCUUAUGUCUAAAAGCGCAUUACUUUUAAGAGAAAUUGCCACAUGAAUGCAAACUCCGUGGCUAAUUCUUUGUUAGAAAAAAUUCAGCGAAUAUUAGAGGCUUAAUUUUAAAAAAAUUAAAAAUGAGGAACAAAGUGAAAAAUUGAGAAAAAGAUUAGAUCAAGGAUCUAUCCUGUAUAGCUGUAUAUCCUGCAGAAUUUUCUUUUCUUUUUUUUUUUUUGUGUGUGUGUGUGUGUGUGUGUGUGUAACGGUUAUAUCACAUGUAAUAUGCCCUGAGCCACUCAUGUUUUAUGUUCAAUGAUAUUGCAAAACUUCUAAUAGGAAGUAAUAUGAGCAAUAUGAUGGGCACAAGUUCUCUCCCUGCAAUUUCUUAUGUAAAAUUUCUACACAUAGAAAUAAUAAUAUUUUUUUAUUAAUAUAAUGCUUUUAAAAUUAUUUAUUUUUAUUAUUUUUUUACAAUAUGUGAAGAUAUCAACUAUAUAUAUAUCUUUAUUAUUGUGUGAAAUAAGAGCAUGCUUUUUUUAAUUUUUUUUUGUGGAUUUGGGAAGUUGAACUUGUGACUUUGAAUUAAGUUGCCAGUUUGACAUCCAAGCCGUGAGAUCGUCUAAACUUUUACUCACAAUUGUAUAAAAACCAAUCAAAUUUUUUGAUUUUAACGGAGUAAGUGACGUUGUCAAAUUUACGAAACUCACAAGUUUUCUGCUAUCUGACUUUUCGCUUCCCAACGAUUCCUGACUGGAAAAAUUUUAAGAAUAUUAUAAUUGACCGUCAUUCGCGUCCUAAGUCAAUCAAAUUGUAUAUUUAAAAUUCACUCAUCGCUGUGAUGGUUCAAAAAGAAAAAUUAUUACACUUUAUCUAAAAGGAAAAAAUUUUAAUUGGAUAUCUGUCCUAGAUGGCACAGCAAAUUAUAAAUAAAUCUAAAAUGUGCUGAUUACAUAUUCUAUCGUAUUUGGUCCAAUGAAUUAUAAUAGUUUCUUACAAAUCCACCGUCUCAUUAUUGAUUAAUAACAAAUUAUUUAUAUUUAUAUUUUGUUAAAAAAUAUUUGAUUGGCUGUAGGUAGCUGACGUGGUGCGCGUGCUAAAAUAGGAUGGAAUUCCUCGUGGGUGCACUUUCUCAGCUUGCUGAGUGAAACGAGGUGAGAGAAGGUGAGAAGAGUGAGGGGCAAAGGGGGAACGGAAUUACCGAAAUAGAAGGUGGGGAGAGGGGCCGGUAAGCGUACCACCACGACUCCGACCUGGCACGGUGCCACCGCAUUUGGGGGGCUCGUCUCCGCGGAUCCCGUCACCGCCCACCUCGCCUUCGCCUCUCCCCCCCUCCUCCUCCUCCUCAUCUCGAUCUACCCCAUCGCCAUUGUCGAAGCAAGCGACCUUUUUCUCUCUUCGAUCGAUCGAUCGAUUGAGCGAUUGAUUGAUUGAUUGAUCGAUUGAUCUGUUCUUGGCCGCGGGAUCUAGGGUUUGGCGAUGGCCUCGGCGAAGUCGUCGCGAUCGAGGCCCUCGGCGCCCUCGGGGAUGCUCUCGGGGGCGGGGGCGGGGCACAGCGAGAGCGGGGUGCAGCUCGCCGACAAGCUCAAGAUCUUCAAGACCGACAACUUCGACCCCGACGCCUACGUCCAAUCCAAGUGCCAGACCAUGAACGAGAAGGUCCCCCAUUCACUCCCCCCUUCCCAAAAAAUUUCCUAUUUGUUAGGAUGGUUUUUUUUUUCCUCUUUUUUUGGAGGUUUUGAUGCGAUUUUACUGCAAAAGAUGCCAUUUUGGAUCUUGUCUUUCUGAUGUGCCUGUGUUCCUGUAGAUCCGUUCAGAGAAAUAGUCAAAAUUUUGAUGUACAAAUUAGUUGGAGCGAAGCAUUUGUUUGUGGAUUAUGGGAUAAAUGUUUGUUCUAAUGAUCUAGUAGGAAGGAUUUGAUCACUAUAGAGGAUUUUUUGAUGAAUGCUGUGCAUUUUCUCUUGCAUGUAUCCAUAAUCCAUCGGGAAUGUUGAGUUUAAUUUGGCCAAAAAAUUAUAAUUAAAAAUUGGUUCCGAGAGAAGCUUUCAUAUGUUAAACAAAUGAUAUGAGACCAUGGACGAAGUUCUCUUCAUUGCUUGUUGCAUUACCAAAAUAUUUUUAAUGUCCUUUGGAAAUGGCUAGUUGAGAUGUCAAAUGGCUCUUAGUUAACUGUUGGCGUGCUCAUGAGAGUUGAACAGAGACAAAAAUGUUCGCGCAUUAGAUGCUUAAUACAUUGGGGUUGCACUGCUUUGUUGUUGUGGGAAAGGCUUAUUGCAGGAUGCUCAUCAUGAUAAUUAUGGUGGUGAGGUUUAGCCAGUUGCUUUUAUCGACAUUGAAGAGGUGAUUUCACCAAUAGUUUACUUAGUGACAUCAUUAGACAUCCAAGUUUUCUGAUGAUUUGUGGUCUGAUUUUACAUUUUAUAGUGGCUUUCUACUCUUGUCACAAACAAGCAAAACCUGUAGGUCAAUUUUAUCUGAUUACUAGUAAAAUAGUAAGAUCUUGUUAUUGCUUCUAUUUCCACAUAGCAUCUGGAUAUACCAAACUUUAAGGAAUUGUUAUGUUUCUUUUAGUAUUGCAUAGGUAAUCUACAAUGCUGAAAUUCUUGAGCUCUCUGAAAUGUUAUAAGUCACUAUACUACUAAGAAACUUAUGUUGCUGAUUAGCAUUAUAAAAAUGUAACUGAUAAUUGUCUGAAUGCAUUCUCACUUGGUGCAGGAAAUAAGGCACCUGUGCUCUUAUCUGCAAGAUCUAAAGAAGGCUUCUGCUGAAGAGAUGCGCAGAAGUGUUUACGCUAACUAUUCAGCAUUCAUUAGGUAUGUAUUUUCAACAUCUUUUAUUGGACAUUUUGUGUUCUGCACCGUUAGUAAACUACCUUCUGGUCGGUAAUCUUUAGUGUUUCUCCUUUAGUGAAGGUUAAAUUUGAUGUUUCGAAAUAGCUACGUGGCUAACUAAUUAAAUUAGUGUCAUAAGAAGGUUCUUAGCAUGAUUCAUGGCAGUACAGGUUAAUGUCAUGGAAAGAAGUUAUUCUCUUUCUCCUUCUCAGACGUGUUAUAGGCAGGAGCCUUGUGUGCUAGGACAACAUCACUGCCUGAACUAUAGUAUAUUGUGGAAUAAGUAUAUGAACUUUAAAGUUAGGAUUUUAGUGCUUUCUAUUAUUUCAUAUUUCGUUACCUGACUGUUAAUCUUUUGACAGAACUUAAAAUCAUCAAUCAAGCUCUGAAGAAGAGGUAGUGGAAAAAAAAAUAUAAUGAAAGGUUACGUAUUUCUCAAAAUUAAAAAAAAAGAGGAAAAAGUUGUAGUUAGGUAUUGUAUUUAAAACUGUGAGUUCACCUAUUUCAAAAAUGUGCUAUUCUUCAAGUAGUGCCUGUUUGUUUUUACCUUUAAUUUCUCACCUAAAAUUGUAGUUAACGGUAGAAAUGCAAUUGACAUAGUUUUUCACUAUUUACAGAACCUCAAAGGAGAUAUCAGAUCUAGAAGGCGAGCUUCUAUCCAUUAGAAAUCUUCUAUCUACCCAGGCAGCUUUAGUUCAUGGUUUAGCCGACGGAGUUCACAUUGAUUCUAUUACUGCUAGCUCUGAAGCUUCUGCAGAAGAUGAUCUAUCCAGUGUCGAAGAUCGAGAACCUUCAGAUGUACAGAAAUGGUCGCUAGAGUUCCCCGACAUACUCGAUGUUCUACUAGCUGAGAGGAGAGUGGAUGAAGCUUUGGAUGCCCUAGAUGAAGCUGACCGCAUAGCCACAGAAGCCAAACAAAGACAGACUUUAAGUGCAGCCGAAAUUUUAUCACUACAGAGGGCUAUUUCUUACCAUCGUCAGAAAUUAGCAGAUCAGCUUGCCGAAGCCACCUGCCAAUCUUCGACCCGUGGAGUUGAACUCCGCGCAGCAGCCUCUGCCCUCAAGAGGCUCGGGGAUGGGCCCCGUGCUCACAGCUUGCUGCUUAAUGCUCAUAAUGAGAAGCUUCAACAUAAUAUGCAGACGAUUCAUCCAACCACCACUUCAUAUGGGGGAGCGUACACUGCAGCUCUAUCCCAGCAGGUGUUCUCUAUUAUUUCUCAGGCUCUUAAUGACUCUUUAGAGGUUUUUGGUGAAGAAUCAUCAUAUGCGUCAGAAUUGGUUAUAUGGGCUACAAAACAGGCAGAGGCUUUUGCCCAACUUGUAAAGAGGCAUGCCUUAGCCUCUUGUGCUGCUGCUGGAGGGUUAAGAGCAGCUGCAGAGUGUGUUCAGAUUGCUCUUGGCCACUGUUCUUUGCUGGAGGCCCGUGGCCUUUCGCUUUCUUCGGUUCUCCUGAAGUUGUUCAGGCCCAGUGUUGAGCAAGCACUAGAGGCUAAUUUGAAGAGGAUUGAAGAGAGUACUGCUGCUUUAGCUGCCGCUGAUGAUUGGGUGCUUAUUAGUCCUCCUUCUGGUUUACGUGCUUCUGCUAGAGUGUCUACGACAAAUUUAGCUCUUCAGCCGAAACUUUCUAGCAGUGCACAUCGUUUCAAUACUAUGGUUCAGGUGAUACAUAUACUUUCAUAUAGGAUAAAAGCAAUAAUAUGCAUAUGUUCUUUGUUAGCUUAUUUUUGCACUAUAAUAUGAUGUUUUAUUUUCAACACUUAUAUUUGCACCAUUAUCUGUUAAUGCAUUGGUAAAAAUCAUCUAGAUUUUUUUUAAAAAAAUUUGGUCCAGUGACCAUACAAGUGUUUAUUUGAGUGAAAAAAAAGAAAAAUCUGAUUUGGAAGCUCUUCAUAUGCACUUUAGCUGAUAAAUAGUUGGUCAUUUAGGCAAGUUUUAUAUAGUUAAACAACUUCAGUUUUGCUGAAGUUUUCAUCUUUCCAACUGCCAUUUGCAGGAUUUCUUUGAGGAUGUAGGGCCGCUCCUUAGUUUGCAGUUAGGUGGAUCCACGAUGGAUGGCCUUCUUAAAGUUUUCAACUCGUAUGUUAAUUUGCUCAUAAGUGCAUUACCAGGUUCAAUGGAAGAUGACGAGAACCUGGAAGGUUCUGGAAACAAAAUUGUUAGGAUGGCAGAGACCGAAAUGCAGCAGCUAGCGUUGCUUGCUAAUGCUUCUUUAUUAGCAGAAGAGUUGCUGCCUCGAGCGGCCAUGAAGCUUUCUCCAAUGUACCAGACUGGUAAUGAUGAUCUUCGUAAAAGAGCUUCAGAAAAGAAUAACCGUGUACCUGAGCAAAGAGAAUGGAAAAGAAAGCUACAACGUUCCGUUGAUAGGUUGAGAGAUAGUUUCUGUAGGCAGCACGCUCUUGACCUCAUAUUCACAGAGGAUGGUGACAGCCAUUUGAGUGCAGAUAUGUACAUUAGUAUGGAUAAUAGUGUUGUUGAAGAGCCAGACUGGGUUCCUUCCCCAAUCUUUCAGGUACUUGUACACUUUUCUAGGUUUCUUUAGUAGUUUAAAUUUACAGCUUUUUGAAGUAGAGUUCUGCUAUGAUAACUUCCUUCUGUUCAUGAAUUUUAUUUGCGCUCUUAUUUCUUCUUUUCUUUGUAUUACUUAUGAGUUCUGUUCUUCUACACAUCAAAUAUGUUAUCUAUGAUUAAGCUAAACAAGCCUAUUUCAUGUGGACAGCGAUGAAUGAAAUGUUACAUGUAUACCACCUAUAUGUUUAUUGAGGUCCUAGUGUUAGUUUUCUCGUCAUGUAGUUUCGAAGAAGACAUUGCGCAUGCGUGUUAUCCUCAUUCUCUCCCAUUCUAUUAUUCCUGAAUACACUUUCCCCAUUGGUUUCAAAGUUGGGAUUGCAACUGUAUUUUGCUUUGGUUAAUUGGCUUAUUGUUUGUUGAUGUAUAAUGAGCCACUUUUAUUCAUUUGUUUUUUGUCUUCUUACCAACUUAAUACUGUUCAAAAUCUUGUGGAAUAUGUGAUAUCUGAUUUUUUUUAAACUGUUAUCUUACCUGUAAGGAGGCUACUUUGCUGCAAUCAAGUACUAUUUCAGGACUCUAUGGAAGAAUUUUCCUUAAGCAAAAAGUUUCCUUAUUUAGCAAGCUAAAACCCAGUUAUUUAUGUUAAAAUGUGUUUGUGACUCUUUUUUAAGUUAGUUUGAACUCAUUUCUUCUCCUAGAAAUGUAAAUACAGAUUUUCAUGCUAGCAGGAAUCAAGUUUAAUUCAGUAAGACCAAACUUAUCACAUGGUCUUCAACUUGUAAUUGAUGGUUUUAGCAUGUGAAAGGCGAGAACUCUUUUAGCUUCCUUUCAGGGUUCAGUAAUUAAGCUUCAAGUAAUUUUCUAUAGAAUAGCGGACAUAGUUUUGAUGAAAUUUUUUUCGUUGUCGUUCCCAGGAACUAUAUGCAAAACUAAAUAGGAUGGCGAGCAUAGCUACAGAAAUGUUUGUCGGCAGGGAAAGGUUUGCUACAUUGUUACUGAUGAGACUUACUGAGACAGUCAUAUUAUGGCUCUCAGAAGAUCAGAGCUUCUGGGAAGACAUUGAAGAGGGACCAAAACCUUUGGGUCCUCUUGGUCUUCAACAGGUAAAACUUUUUUUUUUAGCUACUUUCUUCUUUUAUCGAUCGAUCUGUUUUAGCUGCUGCUUAUUAUUUAUUUUUCCCUCUGUAGUUCUAUUUGGAUAUGCAGUUUGUGAUCCUUUUUGGACAUGGCCGAUUCUUGUCACGGCAUGUUCAUCAAGUUAUAAUUGACAUCAUUGAAAGAGCUAUGGCCGCAUUUUCUGCUACCGGCAUGAACCCAGACAGGUAAUAUAUUUACUUAUCAUGCCACAGUAUAUAUGUUUCAUCGAAACAAAUUAACUGCUUAUUGCAUGCUUUCACUUGAUAAGAUCUCAAACUAAUUUGCUAGCAGUUUGUUAAUUACUCUGACCAUUUCCAUCUCAAAUUCGUUCAGCAGAAAUGCUGUUUCCCGUGGUUGCUAUUUUCGUAUUAAUACUCCAUGUAGUUACAUUAUAGUGUUUCUGCAAGAUUUGUUUCCAGAAUUCGGCUAGUUACGUUAUGGAUUUCAUGCAGUGUACUUCCUAGUGAUGAUUGGUUCAUCGAUGUUGCCCAAGAUACAAUAAGUAAGAUAAGUGGAAGAGCGAGGGUUGCAAAUGGAGAUAGGGAACUUAGCAGCCCAACUGCCUCCGUUUCGGCACAAUCCAUGUCAUCAUUCAGAUCACAUGGUAGUUCCUGAUUUGUGCUUUUCUGGUUUUUUUUUUUUUUUUGGCAAAAAAGCUCCUUGUAUGAUAAGAAAUAACCAUUUUGUUUGUUGUUCUUCUCUCCCAUUCAAUAUUUGUGCUAGUGUAGGCCAUUGUUUAUCUGUUUUAGGAAAUCUUCGGAUUCUUUUUCAUGGAGUUUGAGGCUGCAUAUGUUGCCCUUUCUGUAUACAGUCCAAGCUCUACUGUGUACCAUUCUUUCAUCAGUUUGCCUUUCUGAGCUGCUUCAUUCUUGAUCUAUGCCUUUCUCUUCCGCGCUAAUAAUUUGUGGGAAUUUUAGAAUUGAUUUUGAAGAACAUAAAUAAAAACAAGCAACAUAGGAUUUUGAAUUUGAAUUGAGACACCAAAAUAUAAUUAUGUUAAUAAUUUGAAGGUCAUUAUGUUAAUUGAAGUGCUGAACAUCUUUUUUUUUUAUGGGAGGGAAAGUAUUGAACAGUUUUAUUGCUAUUGCUGUACAGUUUUAAGUAGUAACUGGCAAGUUGUAAUUCUCCUCUGCUUGGAACCAUGAUUCUUCUUUCAUUUAUAUUUUUAACUCAUAGUUUCACUGUACCACUAGUAAGCAGGGGCUUUGCUUAUUUCUUUCUCAAAAUAAUGGCCAAUUUGCUGUGGGAGAUUUUGCUGUCGAAGUGCUUUCGACAAUCUAGUCCAAAAUGGUAAGCAAACUAAAUAGUCCAAAAUGGUAAGCAAACUAAAACAAAAGUAAGCAGUUCAGAUUUAGUUUUCUUUUGCUUGUUCUUUUUCUUUUUCUUUUUGUUUUGUUUGUGUGUGUAUGUGGCUAAGUUACAGAAUUCUCUCGGUGCAUUUAAGCUCAUGUCUUAAUUACCCCUCGGUGUUAAAAAUUACAUAAAUUUUCACUUUAGAUUUUGUUUCCAAGUCAAAAAAGUCUAAAAUUUGAAUAAUUAUUGAAUUUCGCUAGACAACUUUGUAGAACUAAAGUUUGCAGAUGGUGUUGGCAGCUUCGUUUAAAAAUACUGGUUGAAAGUACUAAACAGUAUACACCUAUUUUGGUGAUAAAAAGAAGAAACACUAUAAAUGGUAGAAAAAAUAGUUGAGAUUUGAGAAUAAUUUGAAAAAACACUUGCCAAUGGAUCUAUACUUUCCACAGCAGGAAAAACUCUAAAAUAUAGUGGUGACACCUCAUCAUUUAUAUCUCUAAUCAAUUAAAUCAAAUCGAGUUCAUAGAGUUCACCUCUUCCAUCAUAAAUUUGUUUUUUAAAAAAUUAUUAUACUUUUCUAUCAAAGUAAAGAAUUUGAUUGGUUGAGAUUUAUAUAAUGUGGUGCCACUACUAUAUAAAAAGCUACGUGGCUUUAGAGAGAAUCUGUAUGCUCUUUGCUAGUGCUUUUUUUUUUUUCUUGUUUUUAAGAGAUAGGUAGCACACUAUCCGUUUCGUUUAUUUUAUUUAGAAAUAAAUUUAGCUGGAAAUGUGAAUCAACUAGGAUUCGAAUUUGAGACCUCAGAUACUAACCACCAAGCAUUUUGCCAGUUGCUCUAGGAACGGUCGGUAUUGCUGUUGCUAUCUUAAACAAUAAGUUUGUUGACGGCAGUAGUAUAAGGGUUAGCGAAAAAUUAAUAAUUUAGUGGUGUGUUUGAAAAUGAAAUAAAUAGUAUACUGUAGCAAAAGAAAUAAGUCUCUGUAUAGAAAUUGGUGAGAAAACGCUACAUUAGUGAUGCAUUUGAAAAUAAAAAUAAUUCAUAAUAGUAAAUAAAAAAAAUAAAUAUUAAAUCUACACUCCGAAGGGGUUCAACCCUUAAUCCAAGAGUUUUUGAGUUUACCAAUUCUUUUAGGGUUUUUAAUAUGCAUACAUACAUACCUGCAUACGUACCUUGACGUCACGAACACUGAUACGAGAUACGACACGACUCGAACACUGUGAUCCAACAGUUUUCAAAAAAUUAGGACACAAACUCGGCGUAAACACCUCUAAAAUAUAAUAUUAUUAAUAUAAUAAUAUAUUUUUAUUAUAUAUAAAAUAUUAAUUUUGGUAAAAUAUUAUUAUAUUUUUCAUACGAAUGAAAGUUAGUAAAUUUUUCAUUGACAGUUUAUAUAUUUUAAGAAAAAAAAUUCUCCAUCAUACAUAAUUUAUUUAUAUUAUCAAUAUACAUUCAUCAAAAAGCUAAAGUAUUUAUUAUCUUAUAUUAUAUAUGGAUAGAAAAAGUAAAAUAAAAAUAGGUAUAUAUAUUUUUUAGUUGUAUAUGUUAUGGAUCGACAUUAAACGAACGUCCGAGGAAUGUCCACAUCGGACACGCGAGGCUUAUAUAAGUGUCCGUGAUACGUAGAUACAUACAUAUAUAGUAGAGUUGAACUGAAAUGCUAUUAGUAGUAAAUGAGUUCUAUUGUUAUCUAUUUAUUUGCGAUAAUGUAACCUCCAAAUUGACGAUUGAUAUUAUUGAGCAUGAUCUAUAUUCUAUAUCACUUGAAGUAUCUAUAAAUUAUAUUUUAUAUUUUUUCAAUAUUGUUCUCUUGUCCAUUAAAUGGACACAAAAGUUAACAUUUGAAAAUGACUAUCCUUCAAAAAGUGAUGAUAGGAGUCUUGUAAUCAAGAUCAAGAGUAUAGAUCUUGUUUUAAAGAGUUUCAAAAAUUAUCUAAUCAAAAUUCAAUCGACUUGGAUAUCUUUACGUCGUUAAAUAAAAAAACGUCUUAUAUCGACCAUUAAAAUUAUAAAAUUUGCAAUCCUUUGAACAUUAGAUCAAUGAUGUCAAAAAGAUUUGAUAUUAUGCUUUUAGAUAUUUAAAAUGGUAUAGAUCAUUUUUAACCGUGUGGAUUCCAUCAUAAUUUAAAAAUAUUUUUAUUGUGUUUUUCUCUUGAAAGAAAAAAAUAUAGUAAACUGUAGAUAAAUGAUACAGUAUAGUUGUUAGUUGUUACACACUAGACUUCCUCCCCGUGGAGAGACUAGGGAUGUCAUUCAAGAUGGAUAUUCGAAGUUUUAUCUAAAUUUGAACUCGAAUGAAUCGGAGAUAUCAUAUACUAAACGGAAAUAAUUUCGGAUAUGAAUAUAAAAAACGAAAACUGGACGAAUUUGGAUUCGGGUAUAGAUUUUAACUGUACCUAAAUCCGACCCGAAUCCGAAUUAAUUUUACAUUAUAUAUAUAUAUAUAUAUAUAUAUAUAUACACACAUAUAUUUGAUGUUAUAUUUAAAUUUAUAUUUUAAAAAUUUAGAUUUAACGUAAUAUAUUUUUGAAAUAUUGUAAAAAAAAUAAUUAUUUUGGAUUCCAAUUUGCUGGUUCGGGUUUAGCUUCAGAUUUUUUGAUUUUUGGUCGGGGGUCCGGAUUUGAAUAUAAAUUUUUAAAAUUCAUAGGGUUCGGGUACAGGUUCGGAUUUUUAAAACCCGCCCGAAUCCGAUCCGUUGGCAACGGUAAAUAAAUAAAUAAAGGUACUCUCCAGAGAGAUAUUUUGAGAGAGAGAAAGAGAGAGAGAGAGAGAGAAGGGGGGCGCUAAUGGCGGCGGAGUGGGGAGAGGGAGAGGGAGAGGGAGAGGGAGCGGCGGCGGCGGCGGCGGCGACAUGGUGUGGGGAGACGGUGCCCCGCGUGAUGGCGAUCGUGAGCGAGAGGGGGUUUCUCCCGCAGCGCGACGUCCACUCCCUUCUCCUCGUUAGCACCUCGUGCUACCGCGCCCUCCUCUCCAUCCCCGCCCCCGCCCUCUGGGAGGUACUUGCGAAGAACCAAAACCCUUCUUAGAUUCGUCUUCUUUGUCAUGCCCAAUUUCCUCGGCGCUGGUCACUCGAAUCAUUCAGACCUACUUUGGUUAAAUUUUUUUUUUUUUUUUUUGAUGAAAACGUAGAAAACAUGUUCUGCACCCGAAUCGGCUGCUACUCAACCUUUCAAAAUUUUGAUUUUACUACCCAAUCUUUCGAUUUAUUUGAUUUGAGUUGGUUAACGGUCUUUGACUUCAAAGUUUAAAAAGCGGCAUUUAUUUUUAUUAGUUAUUAGUUAGCAUACUUUAUGUGAUUCUCGUAACUAUAGAUUUAUUAAAGUGAGUAAUCAGCUUAAAUUUUGAAGUUAAAGUAUCAGUGACUGAUUCAAAUCAAACAAAAUUGAAAGGUUAGACAGUAAAAUUAAAUUUUUUGAAAAGUUGGUAAGUUCUAUAAUGAGUAUACUUUGGAAAGCAUAAUCAAUCUUUUCUAUUCUAAGGCUAAAAUUGCUAUAAGAACAGUAAGAACCCGAAGUAUUUCAUGCUUUGAAAAGAAGCGCAGAAUAUUCAAAAAGUACUCACAAUCUUUCCAAUUUCAAAAUCUUCUACUCUAAGGAUACAAAAUUGUGGUGAGCACUGAAGGUAUUGGAGAAAGAGAAAGAUUGAAAGUGCUUUUGAAUAUUUUUGGCAUUUCAGAACCUGAAAAUACGUAGUUGUAGAUGCCGUGAUUCCAAACUUGGUCUGAGAAAGUGUCAAAAUUGGUAGUUGUAGACACCGGAUUCCAAACUUGGUUUGAGAAAGUGUCAAAAUUGGUAGUUUAAGCCAUGAGGUCUUAUAUGAAAAGAAAAUGGGCAGAAAGAAAAGAAAGUUAGAAGAGAAUCGUUUUCUCUUAUUUGAAUUGAAAUCCGGAAGAGAAACGAAGAAGAAUAGAGCGAAAAUAACGUACGUAACGAUCAAUUGCUUUUUUCUGCAAGAGCAGAGAAAAAGUAAGAGAAAGUUAUUUUCAUUUCAUUUCUUUUUCUCUUUUUCUUUUUUAUUCCGUUCUCUUAUUUAUUUUCUCUUCUUUUCUCUCCAUGCAAAUGAAACAUUAGUGAACUAGCAAUCUUAAUUUUUGAGUGGAAAAAAUUGUACCCAGAUUGAUCAAUUUUUUUUUUUCUUAAUGGCCUUUUAUGAUGGCCAAAGUUGGGCGGGUGAAUAUGAAGGAUUUAGCUUGGCAAACGGAGAUCAUCGCCAAUUCCAUGCGGCAAUUUGUUUUUUUUUUGACAGUUUGAACUUCUCCUGGUGUCAAACCCCAAUUCCCGUAUUCCUGCAUUCGAUGAAAUUGAGAACUAGAUUGCUGUAUAUAACAUAGUAUUAACUAACAUGGGAUAAAGCAUUUUGAGCCGCAUAGUUUAGGUUCGUCAAUUGUUCGUACCUGUGCGCUAGUUGGGUUUAACACAUGGAGUUGCUGUUAUUUAUCUAUUGCUGCUUCAGUGUAUGCAAGUUUACUGUUAUUGGCUCUAAUAUUGUUUUAACUCAUGUCCCUAACCAUGUAAUACGCCAGGUUCUUGAUCUGCAUGAGAUGAAAAACGCAGGAGAUCGACUUGUUUCUGCACUUUCACUGGUAUGUUUCACCGUAAUAUUAGGCUCAUCAUCAAGCACAGUUUGUAAUGUGAUUUUGCAUGACGAGGAUUGUCUGCCAGAUAAUGAGUGAUUUUAUCUUGUGUUAUGGCAUUUUAUACCUUUUGGAACUGUAUAAGGUAUCAUUGUCUGCUGCUGCUCGGAUUUUAGUUUUUUUUUUUUUUUUUUUCCCCUCGUGUGUGCAGCCCAGGUAUCGACAUGUGAAAAUGAUUAACCUUGAAUUUGCCCAAGAUAUUGAAGAUAGACAUCUACUUCUUUUGAAAAGCAAGGUAAUCACAAAUUGCCUGUGAGAAAUUUUAUUCAUCAGUAAAUUUGUUGUUGACGUUAUAAUAUAAUUUCUCCCUUUUCUUUGGGAUUUCUUACUUUGAAGUACACAAAUCCCUUGCUACUUGUGUUAUUAGAAAUUGUAUAAGUUUUAGCGGCCCAUUUCCUAUUCUUUUAAACCGCUAACAUAAGAUUACUCCCGAAAUCAAAUUUUGGAAAUAAUUGGGUGUAGACAUUGAAACCUCCAGUAAAGUGAUAGUGAAUGUCAAUUGAAGAACCAUACCAAAUUUGUCUUUAUUAUCUCGAAAGAAAGAAUCCAUCCCUAGGUUAUUUUCUUUUCAAACCGAGAAUCCAUCUUCAUUUAUAAGUAUUGUAAUAUUGGAAUUGCUUAACUUGCGGCACAUUUAAUUACAAGUUACGAGGAAAAGUAUUUAAAAGGUUAAUAGAGAAGGCACAUAAUUUUGGAUCGUUAGUGAGUAGAUAACACGGGUUGAGCAAUAGGUUUUCCGUAGGACCAAUUUAUUGGCAACUAAUACUGCCCUGUUUUAAAAUCAAGCAAGGUUCUCUAGAAACAAUUAGGGCUAGCUAUUUAGGGGCCCAAAGGAGCAGUAAAUGGGUCCUCACAGAGUGUUUAUUAAAUUGUUUGGACGCCAUAGAAGUAAGAUUAUUAUUAUUUGCACAUAAGUUUUUUUUUUUUUUUUGGCUACAUUCUUCAGUUCAUUUCGUAGUGUUAUGAAAAAUUUUGUACCGUUAGUUGUAAUUACAAUUUUCUCAACUAUAGAAACUGUCCUGUUAAUUUACUUGGCCUGUGUUUACCUCAGGUUUCUGUUUGCUAUGGUGAAUAACAUUUAGCUUGCUGAAUAUCUGAAUUUUACUUCUGUGAAUAUCUAUUAAUAACCCUUUAUAAAGUUUUUUUUUAUAAAAUAUUAGAACACAUAAUUUUUUGUGAUUAUUUUCCAAUUCAUGUUACUGUUAUCAGAGCAAUAUAUUAUUAGUUUCAUAUGUAUGUCUCGCACAAGGCUUGCUUGUUUAGUCUGAACUGUAUCAGAUGUUUUUCGGGCAGAAUAUUUCAUUAUGGAGUAAAUUUAUGCAGAGCUCCAAAGUCAUUUAAAAUUUUAAAUGCUUAGUCCUAACCGGAAAUUAUGUUGGUCACCUACUGGUACUUGAACUGAUCCAUCUCUUAGGCGUGCACACCAAUAUAUGUUAUUCACACCCAAAACCAUUUAAAAGUAUAAAAUAUCUCUGAGGCAAAAGAUUUGGUGUUUGUACUGUUUAGAUUGGUUUCUAAAAGCUCUUGUGUCUAAGAACAGAUUGAAAAUGAGUGGUUUUAAAACCAUAUGAUACAUAAUUUACCAAUUGGAUCACUUUCAGUUCUUUGCACCCACUGGGCCCUGUGAACUUUACUUCACAUAGUGAAACAUAACAGGUUUCCAGAGCUGAAAAAUCAUCUCUAAACAACUCGCAUUCAUCCAAAAUUGAUCCAUUUGAGUUAUUGGGCCAUGCUUCACUGAAAGUUGUCUCUUAUAAAAUCAAACAACGUUAACAUUUUAAUCCUUUCUGUUUGAUAGGGAAUUGAUUUACUUCAAGAUUUGGAGACUCUAAAUCUGAAUGCAUGUCAGAAGAUCUCCGACAAAGGAAUUGAUGCUAUAACCAGCAUUUCUCCAAAUCUUCGGGCUCUCUCUAUUUAUUGGAAUGUUGGGUAUGCUUGUUGUUGAAGAUUAUUUAAAAGAUUUUAUGGAGUUUAAGUUCUUAAAAAUAUAUUGCUUGUCAUCUGUGUGAUUGAUUACAUAAUGUUGUUUGCUUAGGCUAACUGACUUAAGCAUACAGUACAUCGUGAAGAACUGCAGACAGAUAGUUGACUUGAACUUGAGUGGUUGUAAGGUAAUACAAAACUUCAGUAGUCUUCAUUUUUUAAAAUUUUAAUUUUUUUAAAUGUGUAGUGCUUUACCUUAAAUGAUUCUCCCUUAUGUGAUUUUUCUUGCGUUACUUAUCUCAUUUGUUCGUUAAUGUAGUGGAUUCAUGAGUGUGUUUGUGAGUAGCUCUCUAUGUGGAUGCUCUUUCUUUUUCAUAUCUGGAUGUUUUGAAUUGGAUAUGUUUCACUGUAGCUAAAACCUAUACUCAUUAUCUUGUAAAUCAUGAGACUAUAAAACAAUCUUUUCAGAUCUAUUUUAGUUGUAGCUGCAGCCAAAAACAUUUGAAAAGAAGUUUAUAACCAUGAAGAGAUAACAUCUGUGCCCUCUAAAAUCGCCAUCAUUGUAAAUGUUGUCUCCAUGGGCAUUAUUUAUUUACUGGACCUAAUAAACAGGGCAUAAAAAUGCUUGGGUUUCAACGAUGCUAUAAAGGAACGACUUGAUGAUUUUUAUGUAAUAAUAUGAGGGAAUUGAGGAUUUUUUUGUAAAUAUGGUGUACUUAAAAAAUAUGGCUCCUGUUAGAUGUAGCAUUUUGCCUUAUAGAUUGCACGUGAUUUUCUAUUCCAUUCAGCUUUUUACUCUUUUGCAUGAUGUUGUGAUCGACAUUUAAUGAUGUGAUGCAGUUGUUUACUUGGCUGUCUAAUUGCAGAAAAUUUCAGAUAAAAGUUUGCAUCUAAUAGCUGAUAACUACCAAGGAUUGGAGAGUUUGAAUAUCACCAGGUAAAAUGUAAUAUAGUGUGGAUAUUGCAUUUGUUGAUCCUUGUGUUGAUCUUGUUGACCUGCUUUUAUCCUUCAAUUUGGGUCCAAAUGCACGAAUUCAAUGUGGGAAAAUACCCUGUUUUUCUUAUUUCCACCUAUGCAUAUGGAAAUUAGUACUUCAAUUCAAGAUGGAUGCUGUUGAAGAAUAUGCAUGACUUUUUUUUUGACUAUAAGGCACAGGGUGAUUCCCUAUGCAAUUCAUUAAAUAUAAAAAGAGAACAGGAUAGUACCUCAUAUCCUAGCACAACCACUAACCAACUAUAGUCUAACAAGGAAAUGAAAAAUCAAAGAGCACACAUAUUAUAGCAGUAUCUAUGUCCAAGCAAAACCAAAAGCAAAAAAAAAAAGAAAAAAAAAAGAAAUCCCAAAAAGCUUGCGUCAUGCAACUUUAUUUGAGUAAAUGUCCGAAAAGCUAGUCAUGCAUCUUACAUUGAAAGCCUUUAGAUUUAAGCUGCCUCGAAUAUAAGAUCCUCAGGGAUGAGAAUCCUGCAUGCCUUCCUGAUCGGAUGAAGAUCUUUGACUGUCAAAGGAUGCCGAAAGGUUGAGCUUGAAGUUGUGGGGUCAAGGGAGGAUGCAUCAAACUGCGGUUCCACCAAGGUGGGUGGUGGAGUUGAAGAAGCGGUCAUAGCAGAAGGGAUGGAUGCAAAUAUGUAUUUGAGACUCUUAAUCUCGUUCAUCUGAUCCAUAAUGCUGCAGUAAGAACCCGUGAACUCUGAAGAGAGGCGAUCAUUGCGGCGAGAGGGAGCAAAGGGAAACAAAUACGAGGGGGGGGGUGUGGAGGAUCAGAACCAGAUGAUAUGAGAGGAUGAGGAAGAGGUGUGGGAGAGAAAGGGACGCCAAAAGAACGAGAUGUGGAGCAGGAAGAGUUCGGUUGGUCAAGGACUCCGCCACAAUUGAUGGAGCAGAAUCAAGAAGAGGGCGAGUAGGAGGAAGCAGAAGCAGAGUGUUGUUUUACUGCCUUCCUCUUAUGCAUGACUUAAUGAUGCUGGAGCAUUUCAAUUGGGGAUCCCUAAGUUAGAAAUGAUAUGGAGUAAAGUUUCUAGAAACUAAAAAUCACGAUUUUGAGAUUGGUUUCAUCUAUACUAUAGAUAAGACAGCAUUUUAGAUAGGAUAGAAACACUACGAUUUAAUACACUUUUUGUGUUUCUCUUCAGAUGUGGAUUUGAGAAUCCGUUUAUCUGUUAAGUUUACAUAAGAAAAUUAUUUAUACUUAUAAAUGACUCGGAUUUUAAUGUCUUAUUAUUUAUGCACUUGAGCCAAGUAGUCAAUACUUUUUGCUUGUCAUCACCCUGGGAGUAUCUGAUACUUUUUAUCUCAUAUGACGUUUCAGGCUUUCAACCUAAUUGUUUUAGCACUACUAUGAGUAAUAUUUUGUAAUUACCAGUACAUAGCAGCCUUUGCAUUCUGUGCAGCAGAUGGACUUUUCCUUCUAAGAAUGUGUGUUCUAAUUAUGCGUUAGCGUUACAGUUCAAAAUAUCAGUUUCCAUAUUUUGUAGGUGCAUCAAGUUAACAGAUGAUGGAUUGCAACAGAUACUUCUAAAAUGUUCUUCCCUUCAAAGUUUGAAUCUCUAUGCCCUUUCCAGGUAAUCAUGGAAAAGAACAUGUUUCUGAUUCACUAUGAAUAUUGUGUAAUAUUGGAGCUAGGUUAAUUGACGACUUUUACCUGCAGCUUCACCGACAAAGCUUAUGAAAAGAUAGCAUUUCUAUCUAAUUUGAGAUUCCUAGACCUUUGUGGAGCCCAGGUACUAACUGAAAUUUCCUUUUACCUAACAUAAUCAAACCUAUAGCUAAUAUUGUCACAGUAAAUUUAUUGUCAGAAUCUAAGUGAUGAAGGUCUUUCCUGUAUAGCGAGAUGCGCAAAGUUGGUUUCUCUCAAUUUGACUUGGUAACUCAGGGCUAAUACCUCUAUCUAUAUAUAUAUUUCCUUUCAAGUUGGUUAAUAAGUGGUAUAACAAGCACUACCUUACAGGUGUGUAUGUGUCACUGAUGUGGGAGUGGUAGCUAUUGCACAAGGCUGUAGGUCUCUUGAGUUUCUUAGGUAAAUUGAGGACAGCUCAUUUGCAUUGAAGCAAGAAUUCAUGUUGUGUAUCUUAUACAAAAAAAUUUGAAUGUAUAUGCAGCUUGUUUGGAAUUAUUGGUGUGACUGAUGCUUCUCUUGAGGCCCUAUCAAAGUCUUGCUCGAAAACUCUAACGACUCUUGAUGUAUAUGGAUGUACUGGCAUUAAGGUCGGGUAACAUUACUAUUAUUAUCAAGGGCUUAUUCAUGUGGCUUUUCCUUUUUUUUUUUUUUCUGAUUUUUCUUUUUUUUCUAUUUCAAUUGUUUGUAGAGAAGGAGCCACAGUGACUUGCUUCAGUUAUUCCUGAAUCUGAAGUGCUUCAAAGUGCACAGCUAGUGUUGAAUUCGGAGCUCAACAUUACGUUGCUCGUGUUUUCAUGAUUAGUUCAUUCUUCCAUAUGGACAUGAAUUCCACAGUAUCUCAGAGGUACAAGAUGAUAUAGAUCAGUGUUCUUGUUCUCUUUUAAAAUUAAGAAAUUAAAAUCUCCUCUGCAAAUCUGCUGAGUUUUAGGCAUUCUUUUUCUCAAGAUUCUUUAAUUGUUGUCUUGCUUUAUUAGAAAACAUGUAUCUUAAACCUGUUUUUAUAGGCAGAGAAUAUAGUGUAACUUAUUGUAAAGUACAACAAAAUCAUUUAUAUGGCACUAGCAUGUGUAAAAUUUGUUUUUUCUUGUUGAGUCUACCAACAAGAACCUGAAACUCCCCUGUUGCCUACUGUAGCUAUUCAUUAUAUGGGCAUAACUAUUCAAGUCAAAUAAGAAGAUGCUGCACUGUCCAUGAUUAUGAUGGGCAUGUAUUGCAUAGUAACUCUAUGAUCCUUUCACUUUAGGUGAUAAUAACUGGACUUCAUAAUUUCGGGCGAAAAUAUAUGUUCAACUCGAGAAACCCUUUUUUGAGAGCCAUAUCGACCGCUGAGCAUGCUAUUUUGGAGAAUUCGUCAAGCUCUUUUCCUCCUCAGCAGUGAACUCCUACACCACUUAGUAGUAGAAGAAUAUCUCUAUCCUCUUCACAAACUGCGUCAAAAUGAAUUUAAAUUAUCUAACCACUGAAAACUCUCAUCAUAGAAUGGAUCUCUUAAGAUGUUAUGCUGACAAGUUUCGCAUUCAAAGUUACGAGAACAAAAAGAGAAAUCAUAACUUUACAUCUAGGCUAUAUCUCAUUAGGCUGAUUCUGAUGAACCGAGAAGAUAGAAUGUACAUAAGUUAUUUGCAAGUGCUAGCCUAGUAUACUUAUCUAUAGACUACAAAGUGCAAUCACAAGGAAGAGUGUGUUAAGUGUAUUGAAAUGAUGCCCUAUUUAAACUGGAUUCCAAGGGCACAUCGUUUCAAUAUCUGAUUCGGUGAGGUGCUAUGUUCUGUUCUAACUAAUCAAAUUUGAGAAUGUUUCGUGUAACGCCCCCAAUAGUCCUAUAUCGGAUGGGAUACUGAUUCCGAUCAGUUUAUAUGAGGUCUAUACGCUAGUUAUAAUAAUUGGGCUUAAGCAUCUUGGGCCGGUUGUUUGGGCGUAACGAGUUAUUAUUGCUAGCGGGUCGGAUUGUUACAUUUGGUAUCAGAGCCGAAUACCAGCCGGAAGUGUGAGAACUAAGUGCUAAACGGGGCAAAGUGCUACACCAACCAGUUUGGUGGCAGCCACCUCUUGAACCCGUAGGAGCCACCUUUAGAAUUUCACAUUGCCUGGUAAUUCUUGUUCUGGUCUAUCUGUCUGUCUGAGUUUGGACCUGAUGAGGACGUCAGGGUCUAAAUAGGAGAAGUUUGUAACGCCAGGACGUCAAGGUCUAAACAAGGGGAGUUUGUAAUGCCGAGUUUGUAACGCCAAAUAAUCCCACGCCUCCAAUAGUCCUACAUCAGAUGGAUACUGAUUCCGAUCAGUUCAUAUGAGACCUUCCACGCUAGUUAUAAUAACUGAGCUUAAGCAUCUUGGGCCGAUUGUUUGUGCCUAACGAAUUAUUAUUGCUAGCGGGUCGGGUCGUUACAUUUCGUGAGCCAGAUCAUAGGCUAGUUCCUAUCUUCAACUAAUUGCUCCCUCAAUAAAUGAAAACACAGCUCUUUGGGCAAACAGGGAGUAUGUUGUUGUAUCAUUGGUUAGAUUUGUCCUAAAGGUGAAUUUACUAUUCAGAAUAUAAACAUCUCUCUAAGUCAGGAAGAGAACUUAUUUGUAGCUCAAAAUAGUCUUUCGAGUCAAAUAAGCCUACGAAAUUAUUCGCUGAAGCUUUGGCCUUUCUAAUAUGCAUAUUAUUAGAUGAUGGUGAACUUGACCAACCUCUUUGUUGAGGUUGCAAACAGUGACUGUAAGCUCCAGGUACUCAAUGAUGAAAAUCCUACAUUCCCAAAGACAAGUGCCAAUACCAAUAAACUUUUGCUUAUUAACCUUAGUCAAUAUGUUGUCAACUUGUUGUAAUCGAUACAUGCUUUACAUUUGGUUACAUUUAAAUUCUGAAUGUUAUUAUUAGAAAAAGGUAGGCAAAGUUUCCUAAGUUUAUUUGGCAAUAUAGUUUUGGAAUUACUUCGUCUAACUUGCUCAUUUUUGUGCCAUUUUAAUUGGAGUGCAGCGAUAAGAUAUUGGAGCCAGAAGCCGUUUCCGUUAACGGCCACUGCAAACUGGAGUCUGCCUCUCUCGCUGUUAAAACUAAAUGUCAGGCGAAGGAAACUUUGUUACAUACCAUGGAGGUUUGUAGAACGCAAGAGCUAAGCAUCUUCGCAAUGAAAUGGUAAUUUCUCCAUACUUGUUUUCGGCAUCUCUAACUUAUGUCAGUGACAGCAGCAACUGGACAUUACCUUUCCUGCAAAACAAAGCCGAAGAACAACUUAUUGAAGCACAUUUAGACACUGCAUAAUGCAAUCGAAUCAUAUAGCAAUAACUUAGCAAUGAAAAUGAAGGAAUGCGGAGUUAGACGGUCCCGUGUCGAGGAGAGAUGACACCCGCUCCGAACGGUAACCCGAUCCGCCGGUGUGGGUGUCAUCUCUCCUGACAAAGGUCCCUAACCCCUCUAGUAGUCUCCUCAUUCAAUAUCUUUUCUUGUUUCUCCUAUAUGCUUCGUAGGCAUAAACUCAUAAGGUUAUAUAGAGAAUGGGGAGCUUUUCUUUUCUUCUUCUUCGUCGUUUGCAUUCACAUUGGCCUGGUCAAAGCAUAUGGCCAUUUUAAAUGUUUGGCCAAUGAAACCACGUGCUUUCAUGUGGAAUUUUGGGUCCUCAUAAGCAUUGGAAAAGUGGAAUUUUGAGUUCUCACAAGCAUUGGAAAAGUGGGUCAGUGUGGUUUAUUAAUUGUAGGGUUAAUUGCACCAUUGGUCCCUAACCUUUACCUUUUUGUCUAAAUUCCUAUUAAUUUUGACAGAAUAGAUCAUGCCAACUGCGAUAAAGUGUUGCUUAUUCAUAUAGAUUACAGUCAUAGUACAAUAGCUCCUAAUCACUAAUGAAUCAUGGUACUGAUUUUUUAAACGUUUGAAAGAACUUGAUGGCACGACCAGCUUGAUGCUAAGGACGUCAGAUACUCCAAAAGAGAUAAUAGGGGUCGUGUAAGCGGUCGAGGUGGUCUUAACAGUGGAGUACAAAAUUGAGGAUGGUGAGAUUGGGAUUGACGUGAUAUGCGCACAUAAUAUAAGGGGUCUGGGGCUGUUUAAUUUUUCGGAAAAGUAUGGAAAAAAAGUGUUUUUGAGAACAAAUUUUUUCAUAGAAAGCUCCUUUUUUAUAGUUUUUUUUAUCCAUCUGGUUCCAAAAGAAUUAGCUGUUGUGGAAAAAAAAAUUCCAUAUUUUAUAGCAAAUUAAUGCUUUUUUAUUUUUCCAAAAAAAGGGGAUGAAAUGUGAAAAAAAAAAAGAUUUUUCCAAAAAGGCUAGUUCUUAGAGCAAAACAGGCAGAAAAUUUUUUAAAAAAAACCUUUUUCGUGACAAAAUUUUUGGCAAAACUUAUUUUUGCAUACUUUUUUGGGAAUCAAACAACUCCGUGAAAACUAAAGUAGAAAAUAGAAAGAAAGGGUGAAGGUUAGGAACAAAUUUGGCAAGUAAUUUCAAAGGUUAAGGAUCUAAUUGUAAAAAGUAAAAGGUGGGGAACCAAAAUGAAAACAAGGUAAAGGAUGGGGACCCUUGAGCAAAUUAAACCUUAAUUGUAAAGUCUACGGCCGACCAAGAAAUUGUUUGGACUUUGUUUUGCAUUAUUAAUUAUUAGGUGUUCCCCCACACUCUGCUUUCCCCUGCUUUACAGGUCAUACUUGAAACGUUUUGGUACUAGGAUGGUCAUUAUUUGUUGGUCAAGUGCUUUGCAUAAAGACAUUUUUGUUAGAUCGUUGGUACUAAUUAUUAAUCUUAAAAGUUUUAACCAUUAGAAAUAUACAAUCAAUUCAUUUAAAUCGGAUAGACACAAUAGUUACGGAUCUCGAUUGUGACUCGGUCUAAUCAGCUUCAUGUUAUUUCGAACAUGACUGAGUUUAAUCUAAUCUCAUGCCUUUUCGAAUGUGACUUGGUCCAACCUGACUUUUCGCCGCAUGGCAAAAUGUUGGCUUCUUUAAGCCAACAACUUUGGCUCUCUAAAUUCCUCAAUAGAUAUAUUUGUUGGUCCAGUUGCAUGCAUAAUCCUUACAAAGCACUACAAUUAUAUAUUUAUUCCUAUAAUAAAGUUUUAAAUGCUUUUCUUUGAUCCGCAAACUAUGAGGUGGGUGACACUUGGUGGCAAUAUCUAUCUCGAACUUUUAGAAUUAUUGCAACAAAGUCUUAUAAUUCAAUUUAAUUGACUAAAUGUUGAUGAAUCAGUAGAGUAAAAGUGACAUAGCAGUAUUGUGACUGAUAAUGCACUAAUAAUUUAAAUGUCACACCACUUUUAUUUCAGUGUUAUAGUAAUAUGUAGUUAAUUAAAUUGAUUUGUAGAACUUAAUUGUAAUAAUUUUGAAAGUUUAAGUUAGAAAUUACAACACAUUAAAAUUGAAGGAUCCAAGUGUCAGGUUUUUGAGGACCAAACAUGCAAUUUGCCUGAUGUUAAAAUAUAUUGACUAGCUUGCUCUCGAGGUCAUGGUCAACCAAGAAAAGCAUUUCAAAAAGGGAAAAAAAAAAAGGGCUAAAUUACAGUAAAUCCUCCUAUUAAAAUUUGAUUUUUCACUUUUUCUUCCUCAUUUAAAAAUUUACACUUUGUCCCUUUAUAAAAUAAAAAAUAUUUACAGAAAGGUACGGUGUUAACUGUAAUAAUAAAAUAACUAUUUUGUCACUCACCAUUUUGCCUCUUACCAUUUUCACAAGAGAGAAGGCUGAGAAUAUUUUUGGCAUAAAAAAUAUAUAAUAAUAUUUUAUAAAUAAAAUUUUAACGGAUUACUAACUGCAGGGGACAAAGUGAAUAUUUUUUAUUUUACAAGGAGUCAAAGUGUAUGCUUUUAAAUGACGGAAAAAAGUGAAAAAUCGGAUUUUGACAUAAGGAUUUUAUGUAAUUUAGCCAAAAAAAGAAAAGCAUUUUUAAGACUCGAGUAACAAUAAGAUCACGAAUUGAUCAUCACGAUUUAUUUAAUACCUUCUCGUUUUUGGUGGUACCCAAAGUUUAUUUCACUCUAAAUUUUUUAAAGCGACUCGUUUUAGUUAUUGUUCUUGUUUAUGGUUAUUAAUAAAAAAUAUUGAUUGCAUGUACAUGGUGUAUCUUUUUGUUUUUUUAUCCAUCAUUUAUGCAUUACACCUCUAUCAAUUUUUCAUCCAAUCAUCAUAUAUUAUUAUCGACCGUUACUAAUGCAGCUGGCUAAAAAAUUCAAAAAAGGGAAAAUAUUUUUCAUGAUUUUUUUUUUCUAGUUUUUUUGUUUGUUUGGUUCUAAAAGAAUAACUUUUUGCAAAACAAUUUCACAUUUCAUGGAAAACUAUUAUUUAAUUUUUUGAAUUUUUUUGGGAAACAUAAACUGUAGUUUCCUAUGAAAUUUGAAAAAAAAAAAAGAAAUUAGUUUUUGGGGAAAUCAAAUGGCCGGAAAAUUGAAAAAAAGAUUUUUUCAUGAAAGCUAUUUUUCAUGCACUUUUAAGGAACCAAACAGUUUUUAAAAACUUGAUAAAUGAUAUCCAAGGUUCAAAAUUUGAAAACGAGUUGUUUUACAUUCUAAGUUGAAUUUAUUUCAAAAAUAUGAUCGAAGCGAGUAGUUUGCUAUUUUUUUUUUUUAAAGAAAAAAAAAAUUCACCCAAUCGUAUAAUUUAAUCUUAAGCUACUUUUCUCUCAAAAAAAAAAAAAAAAUCAUCCAAUCUUAUAGUUUAAUCUUAUUAUAAGCUAUAUAAAUUUUUCUAUGCUUCAAAAUUUUGCCGUUGCAUCACCUAUGACGGAAUAGACUAGUGAUGCGUGAAUGUAUUAGCGAAUUGAGUUCAAGUAAUAAAUUUUUAUCUAAAAAAAAGGGCUAAAAUAAAACGACUCUAAAAAGAUUAAAAUUGGUUCUGGAAUAAGGGAGGAAUACGCUUUUGUUCUCCUUUUGUUUCCAAAUGCUAUGCCUGGUAUCCGAAAAUAGUAAUUUUCAGGUCUUUAGAGUAAGCUGGUAUAAUUCGGUAUAAAUUAGAACUCGGUAUAAAUUAGAACUGUUGUCUCACUCCUUUUCCUGAAAUAAGUUUGUUCCUAAAUAGGAACAAGGUUAAUUAAAGUCUAAAUUUAAUUUUAAUUAUUAUAUUAAAUUAUUAAUUAAUCUAAUUAAUAUAUUAAAUUAUUAUUCAUUGCCUAAAUAAUAAAGUAAUUAACUAAGUUAUUACUUAUAAUCAAUUAGCAAAUUAAUUAUUAAUAAUUUAAUGUAUUUAUCCAUAAACCAAUAUUUAUAUUAAUCAACCAUUAAUAUUUUUGUUAAUCUAAUUAAUUUUUUUACUAGUUAUCUAACUAAAAUAGUUUACUAACUAAUUAAAUAUUUAAAUUAUGUUUUAUAUUUAAUUAAUUAAUAUAGUUUCAUUAUCUUAUCCAAUAUUCAUAGCUAAUAAAUUUAUUAAUUUAUUAAAUAAUUUUUAAUUAAUAUUUGAUGUUAAUUAAUUAGAUAAAAUAUUUUUAAUUUAAAAUUAUAAUUUUUAUUCCUUCUGUUCCAAUCUAAUCAUAUAAACACUAUUUAUCUUAUUCUCAUAAAUAACUUUAUUUUCAUCAAAACGUAAAUUGGUCUAAUUUUUUGCUUAUACCAAAACUUGUAUCUAUUUCUGAAAUAAGUAAUUCUUAUUUAUACCUGAACCAAAUGUAGUCUAAAGUUUGCGACCUCCAAUGUCAAAGGAAAAGUUUCAUAACGAAAAAAAAAAAAAAGAGUUUCAAAAUUCGAGGACGACUAGUAAGGCAAUUCAUUUCCCAAAAAACAACAGAAAAAACACCAAAAAACCAAGGUUAGAGAAAUCUACUAUGGCCCUAUUUGGAUACUUGCAGACCUUCUAAGAAAAUGUCUAAAAAUUAAGGCAAAUAUAAUGUUCAGCUUUCAAGUGAAUUUUAUGAAAUAAGAUAAAUCAUCUUGAGAGAAAAAUACAUUAUCCCAAGAAAUAAUGGAUGUGAAGACCAUCAAAUGAGCUAAAGUAAGAUAAUUUUCGUAGUGCGUGACUUAGACUUAUUUCUAGAUAACUAAUUACAAUAAAAUUCCAAACAGACAUAUUGAAAUAACAGGGCAGAUGAUGUCACCCAAAAUAUUGAUCUAACAGCACUAACUCACGUGCAAGUGCAACCUCACGGAAUAAAAAGAUUCAAGAUUAGUUCAGAUACCGUAUUACUCAAGAGAUGGUGGAUAAAAAGAUUUUGAUCAAUCAGAGAGAAGGCAGCUUCUCUUGUCUCAGAAAAGGUGGCACAUGCUGUCACAGUGGUUGUAAGCUGCAGCAGGUGUCACCUUUCCUGCGACAAAAGAACCUGAUCUCUCCUAUUCCUUUGCUUGUUUAAUAUCCUUUGAGCCCUCCCUUAGCGUUCUCUUCUCUACUUUCUCCUAUUUAUAGUGGGAAUCAAUUCAUUCCAAAAACUCUUUUACACAUUAUUGGCAUUGUGGUGGGACCCAUGUUAAAACGUUGAAUGGUCAACCUAAUUCUUUGAACCACAUGGGAAUCUACGACCCCUUUUGGUUUGCCUAACUAAUAAUUUAGAUUCACCACUUCUAUAUCUUUGGCUAAAUUACACUUUUAGUCCCCAAAUUGUUUGGUCAAACUUUCUACAAUUUUACCGCCAAUCCUACGUUCUAAAUUAGUUGACUAAAUAUUGAUAAUUCGCUGCUGUAGAAGGGACAUGGCAAUGUGCGAUUGAUGUCACAAUAAUAAAAAUGUCACAUUACUUUUAAUUAGUGAUUCGUGAAUACUUAGCCAAGUAAAUUGGGUUGUGGUACAAUAAUUCCGAAUGAUCGAGAGAGAAAUUAUAAUAAAUUAAAAUUUGAGGACCGAACUGUCAUGCAGAUCAUAGUUUGAGGACCAAAAGUGCAAUGUUUAGCCUUCUAUUUUUUGAGUAAAAUGUAUGGAUAGUUCCCAUACUUUUCUACCUAGGAUAGAAAGCGGAAAAUGUACACUCCUUUUUCUAAGAUGUAUACUUGACAUUUUUCCUCCUUUACUAUCUCAACAUCACAAGUUGAUCCCAAUACUUUUACCUUAAAUAGUUUGGACCAAGGUUUAAAGUGCCGUGGCAUGGGGGCAUGCCGCUGUUUGCCUGGUAUGGUAUGGCAUCGGCACGCUUUCGUGCGAACACGUGGUACGCUUGUAUGCCGAUAAAUACGUAUGAUCUUCUACCGGUGCGUUUUUGUACAGACUAUCAUUUCAAUUUUUUUAUUUCAAUAAACUCUUAUAAUAUUAUUUUGAAAGAUUUAAUUAAAUAAUUAUAAAUAUUUGCUAUGUAUAGUUUAUUUAUACUCAUCAAUUAAUAUAUUUGUAAACUUUUUUAUAUAAAAUACAACUAUAACUGAUACAGAAUAAAAGUUUUUAUAUAUUAGAACUUUUAAAAUAUAAAUGCAUUUUUUUCUUUUUUUUUUAUCAUAUUAUAUUAUUUCUUUUAUAAAGUAAAAAAAUAAAUAUUUUUUUAAAUUAUUUUUAAAAAAUAUUUGAAAAAAAAUAUAUUUUUUUAUUAAUUUUUAAAAAAUUAUUAGAUUUAUAUAAAAAAAAUAAUUAUAAUUAUAUGAACAAAAUAAAUAUUAAUAAAUUUAAGUAUCAAUUGAUUUAAUUUAGCUUUUAAUUUUAUCAGAAUUUUUAAUUUUGUAACGCAAAAAUAAAAUUUUAUAUUUGAUAUGUCUUAAAUUGUUUAUUGAGUUCGAUUUUAUGCUCCUAAUUGGCCAAAAGUUUCACGAUGUGACAAAUUUUAAUAAAAUAAUUUGUGAAUAAAAACUGGAUAUCUGUGGUGGAAGCUCGGCUCCAGCUCGCAGACUGCAGUAUGGAUCUGAUAUAUAAAUUAAAAAUUUAUUCAUAUAUUGAUAAAUAAGAAAAAUUAAAUUAUAACUUUUUUGACUUACUUAAUAAGUAGAUUUUCGAUUUGUAAUGUUUUUAGGAGAUGUGAGCCGAGUAGUCAGAAUGCUUUGGGUAUCGAAAAAAAAAAAAAGUGAAAAAAAGCAAGGCACGGCACAGUGCCGCGGUAUUCACCCGGGUAUCGCAAUAUCUCGUGUGAUAACCGGGUGGGUACCGCGGCACGGCGGCGGUAUGAGACCCCCCUCCCCCCCCCCUCUACUAUGCCCUUUUUUUGGGGCACAGUAUGUGCCGCCUUGUGCCAUAUGAUACGGGACAGCAGUUUAAACCUUAAUUUGGACCUUAGAAUUUUACUUCAAUUGUACUUUAGAUCCCUUAAAAAAAUAAUGCUUUAACUUAUUUUAGUUUAAUCCAAGUAUGAUUAAAAUAUUAUUCUACAUCAAAAAUCAAGAUAAUUUAAAUGUUCAGGAUCAAAAGUGCAACGUAUAUGAAAUUCAUUUAAAUUAAAGGACCAACAUGCAAUAUUGGAAUAGUAGAGUAACAUUUUGUCUGCACUGAUGUACUCCAUCCCCGUCUUAUUGUGUUGACUGGUCGAAGGUCGACAUUGUUCUGGUAAUUUUGACCUGGUCAAUGUUUGAAUGGUCUUUUUUUUUUUUUUUUUCGUCACACGAAUAUGUCUCUUGGAGAGGACUUCGAUGCUAUAUUGAGAUUUCUUUUGGACUUACUUGCAAUUAGUCAAGAUUUUUUUAUGACUUAAGAAUUAAUUUUCAACCAGAAUAAAAGGCAAAGUUGGAGAGUUUUGAGGUAUAACUGUAAGUAACCAAAAAAUUUAAAAUGUAUCAGUUAUGUUGGCGACGUUCCCAACCAAUCAAAUAUAUUUUUUUAGAUUAAUUCGUCAUAUCAGGAUUAUAAAAAAAUAUUUUUCUUAUACUUUUUUUUUUGGAAAGAAGAGAUGUGAUAGGUUUGUUAUUACAAAUGUAGAGUAAUUAUGACACAGUAAAUUUUUUUGUAAGUAAGAGGU